Molecule: long non-coding RNA, 1473 nt
Organism: Rana temporaria (common frog)
Lineage: Eukaryota; Metazoa; Chordata; Amphibia; Anura; Ranidae
Exons: 2
Source: RefSeq, a predicted model, not a curated record
AUAUUUUACAAAGCAGUGUUUUGAAUUGUGACUGGUAUUUUUUAUUUCCCUAGGCUCACCAUGUAAUCCCGCAAUGACGAACAUACACACAGAGGACAUAAUUACAAUUUCCCCUACCCAAGAUUCCAGUCCUGAAGAAAAUCAAAGAUACCAUCUACUUGAAGAGAUGCAGACGGACCAUUCUGGGAUGGAGGUUUGGGAUCAUCCCCUGAGUGAAAGACACCAAAACCUGGAUCUCAUUGAGAUCACCCCUUUAGUGGAGGAUGUAGAAAAUGCCAGAGCCAUAACAGAUGGAUCUCAGAAUAUUGUAUCCAGCACAGGUAAGUUGCUUAUUAUUGAUUUUGUGGCUUUUAGUGCAUCUGUCCUAAAUGUAUUAUUAGUAAAUGUUAUCCUUCACAGGUAAACCGCUGCAAAGUAGUACCAUUACGCAUUCAAAGAUGAAUGUUUUGCGCUGUUGUGGCGAACUUGAGAAGAUCAAACGAUCAGCUGCAGCACUUCAGCACAAUUUGAAAGACUUUAUAGAAUUGAUGAACAAAAUCUAAAUGCUGGACCUGUUAAGUUGUUUGCACAGUUUUUGUAGAUUCUUUUACAUUUGAUUGUACACUUUUUUGUAAAAAAUUGUCCAAAAUUGGAUGAGCAUUUCACGCUGCAUUACCUUAUGUAAUCCGAUGUUUCCCCACAACCAAAUUGCUUAAAUAUUACAUUCAACCUAGUUGUCAGAAUGUCAUUUUAGGCCGAUGUUUUGUUUUUUGGUAGCGGUACCUGCCUUUUUUUCCCACACGGCUUCCGGGUGUGUGAUCUGUGUCCCUGGUCGUUACCACUGGCGCAUGCAGUGCGUCUGCAGCUUCAGAAUGAAGCUGGUCUGCUACUAGUCUUUAAGCUGCGCUUGCGAACCAAUGGUUUUCUUUUUCCAACAACUCGUGACCCACUGCAUGCACCGGUUGUAACGAUCACAAACAAUUGCGAACGUCCAGUACCACAGAUUACAUACCCAGAAGCGGUGUUAUAGAAAAUGUUUGUGCAGUCAUGUUGACUACUUAGUUCAAUUUAAUGCUGCUAUUUUUUUUUUUUUUUGGAUGAUCCCAUCCACUUUAAAUCGUAGGAGCACCAAAAAGGAAACUAAAACAAAAAAGAACCAGUAUGCUAAACAAAUUUAACUGUAUGUAGGCCUUAUUCUUUUUUCACCCUACAUGCCUUAAUAUUGCCUUUUAAAACAGGACUUACUGGGUUUUGUAACUGCGGGAUUGGCCGUUACCACUGGCGCAUGCAUCGCAUCAUUAGUUGCUGAAAGAAGCUGGUCUGCAUGUAGCGUGUAUACGGCGCUUGUGCACCAAUGUUUUGCUUUUGGAAGGCAACUCGUGACGCACUGCAUGCACCAGUUGAAAAUGAUCUCAAACAAUUGUAAACGUUCAAUACCACAGAUUACAUACCCAGAAGCCCUCUCACAAAUACUUGUAUGUAUGGCAAAGAAUG